This 1089-nucleotide ribosomal RNA is filed under the name Neisseria canis. RNAcentral's name for it is "bacterial SSU rRNA". It matches the Rfam family "Bacterial small subunit ribosomal RNA", at positions 32 to 1092 of the family's 1533-position model. The record is from RNAcentral. Lineage: Bacteria; Pseudomonadati; Pseudomonadota; Betaproteobacteria; Neisseriales; Neisseriaceae.
GACGCUGGCGGCAUGCUUUACACAUGCAAGUCCGAACGGCUGCACGGUAAGAGCUUGCUCUUUUGGUAGGCGAGUGGCGGAACGGGUAGAGUAAUGCAUCCGAACGUACCGAGUAGUGGGGGAUAACUGUCCGAAAGGAUGGCUAAUACCGCAUACGCUUUGAGAAGGAAACCAAGGGCUCUUCGGACCUUGCGCUAUACCGAGCGGGUCGAUGUCUCGAUUAGCUAGGUUGGUGGGGUAAACGCCUACCAAGGCGACGAUCAGUAGCCGGGUCUGAGAGGAUGAUCCGCCACACUGGGGACUGAGACACGGCCCAGACUCCUACGGGAGGCAGCAGUGGGGAAUUUUGGACAAUGGGCCGCAAGCCUGAUCCAGCCAUGCCCGCGUGUCUGAAGAAGGCCUUCGGGUUGUAAAGGACUUUUGUCAGGGAAGAAAAGCUUUGGGUUAAUACCCUGGAGUGAUGACGGUACCUGAAGAAUAAGCACCCGGCUAACUACGUGCCAGCAGCCGCGGUAAUACGUAGGGUGCGAGCGUUAAUCGGAAUUACUGGGCGUAAAGCGAGCGCAGACGGUUACUUAAGCAGGAUGUGAAAUCCCCAGGGCUCAACCUGGGAACUGCGUUCUGAACUGGGUGGCUAGAGUAUGUCAGAGGGGGGUAGAAUUCCACGUGUAGCAGUGAAAUGCCGUAGAGAUGUGGAGGAAUACCGAUGGCGAAGGCAGCCCCCUGGGAUAAUACUGACGUUCAUGCUCGAAAGCGUGGGUAGCAAACAGGAUUAGAUACCCUGGUAGUCCACGCCCUAAACGAUGUCAAUUAGCUGUUGGGGCACUUGAUGCCUUAGUAGCGUAGCUAACGCGUGAAAUUGACCGCCUGGGGAGUACGGUCGCAAGAUUAAAACUCAAAGGAAUUGACGGGGACCCGCACAAGCGGUGGAUGAUGUGGAUUAAUUCGAUGCAACGCGAAGAACCUUACCUUGGUCUUGACAUGUACGGAAUCCUCCAGAGACGGAGGAGUGCCUUCGGGAGCCGUAACACAGGUGCUUGCAUGGCUGUCGUCAGCUCGUGUCGUGAGAUGUUGGGUUAAGUCCCCCAA